GACGAACCGUGCGAACGUUAUUCGGAAUCACUGGGCUUAAAGCGCGUGUAGGCGGGCCGCCGCGUCGGCUGCUGAAAUCCCCCGGCUCAACCGGGGAACGGGCACCGAGUACGGGCGGCCGUCGAGGGGGGUAGGGGGACUGGAACUUCCGGUGGAGCGGUGAAAUGCGUUGAGAUCGGAAGGAACGCCCGUGGCGAAAGCGAGUCCCUGGACCCUUUCUGACGCUGAGACGCGAAAGCCAGGGGAGCGAACGGG
This 255-nucleotide ribosomal RNA is filed under the name uncultured bacterium. RNAcentral's name for it is "partial 16S ribosomal RNA". It matches the Rfam family "Bacterial small subunit ribosomal RNA", at positions 524 to 776 of the family's 1533-position model. The record is from RNAcentral.